GGUUUGUUUGUGUCGCCCUGGCUGUCUUAGAACUCACUCUGUAGACCAAGCUGACCUUAAACUCAGAGAUCACCUACCUCUAUGUUGGAACUAAAGGUGUGUGUCACCCUACCUGGCUUUUAAGUUUCUUUUGUUAUUGUUGUUUUAUCUAGUAUCAAGGUGAAACUAGACUCAGAAGUGUUUAAAAGCCUUCUUUUUCUAUUUUAUGGAAUAAUUAAAAUAGUAUUGGCAUUAGUUCUUUGAAAUCUGGAUAGAAUUCUGUAUGAAUCCAUCUAUUUCUGGAAUCUUUCUAAUGGGAACUUUACUACUAUUUCAAUCUAAUGGUUGGUUUUAGAUCUAUUUGAAUUAUUUCUUUAGUCUUGGCAUGUUGUAUAUAUCUAGGAAUCCAUUCAUUUAUUUGCAUUUUCCAAUUUAGUGGAAUGUAUCCUUAAGAUUUUGUGAAUUUCAGCCAAGUGCUGGUAGUAUGGGUUCAUGUCUUUAAUCCCAGCACUCAUUUCUGUUACAGUGUUAUCUCUUUUUUUUUUUUUCCCCUACAUUUUACUAAUUUGUGUCUUUUUCUCUAGCUGCCCUCAGAUUUACCUGUCUCCUGAGUGCUGGAUUAAAGUCAUAUGUGACCAUGCCCAGCUUGAUUUUAAUUUUUUGUGUUUAUGGAUAUUUUGCCUAUAUGUGUGUCUAUAUGUGUGCUUGGUACCUGUGGAGGCCAGAAGAAUGUUAGGUUCCCUUGGAACUAGAGUUACAGAUGAUGAUGAGCUGCUGUGUGGGUGCUGGAAGUCAAGCCCGGUUCCUCUGGAAGAGCAGCCAGUGCUUCUAAUCACUAAGCUAUCUAUCUCUCCAGCCGUUAGGGGUUUUGUCUGUUUGUUUGUUUGUUUGUUUGUUUGUUUUGUGGGGGGGUGGGGGUUGUUGUCUGUUAUUGAGACAAGGUUUCAUAUAGUUCUGACUACCCUGGAAUUCACUGUGUAGACCAGUCUGGCCUGGAAUUCACAGGGAUCUGCUUGCCUCUGCCUCCCCAGCACUGGGAUUAAAGGUGUGCACCAAAACACACAGACUCUCUCCCAAGGCUUGUACCUCUAGUUGUUUUCUCUUACUGAAUCUUAUUCUGCUAGAAAUGGUUGUAGUGUUUCCCUGUUAACUGAGAUGCUGGCUCUAGUGUUAAGGUCUCACCAUCCUACCUAAUGCUAGGACGGGAGCCAGUGACUCUUGACAUUCUUCAUUGUCUUUGUGAGAAAUAGGUGUUGAAUUUUAUCAAGGUGGGGUUUUGUGGGUAGUUUUUUUUCUCCUCAGAACUAUUUAGAAUAAUGUUAUUGUUUUAGUUUUCCAACAUUAAACCAACCUUAAAUUCCUGUAAUAAUUAUCAUUUGCCUUGUGUUAAUUAUGUUCUUUGGUUUAGGUUCUAUUUGUUGUUACUUUAUUGUCUUGAUAUUCAUAGGUUUGUAACUUUCCUUUUUGUUGCCAUUUUUAAUUACUUUGCUGUAUUUGCACAGGGCAGAAUGGGGGUGUCAAUCAAUAAUGUUCAUAAAAGAAAUUACAGGGCAUUUUCAGUAUCCUCAUAUUUAGUUCUGGAACACCUUCAGGCUAUAUUGGAACUGUCAAGGCUUUAGAAGUUUGAAAGUGUUCUGUCUGUUUCCAUUGAAAUCUUACCAUACUUCUUCAGGUAAUGUGGUGAAUUUUGGAAGGCUACUUUCCUUUAGUAAGUUUUCCUUUUCAGGUAAAGUUCCAAACUUUGUAUACAUUGUUUGCCAAGUAUAUACAUGUAUGACUGCUUUCUUAGGACAGGCUUUUGUGUGUGGCCCAUACUGUAUCGCCAAGGCUGAAAAUGCACUCCUCUGUGGCCCUGACCUGUGCCCUGUCACUUACAUUUGUUUUCUUCUUGCCAGUUCUCACUCUGUGUUUUGAUUUUGCGUAAGUUAAUCAUCUGUGCCCUUUGUUAGGGUUUGUUGUUGUUGUUAUUGUUGUUUAACUCAGAUUUUCCCUUUUCCCCUCUUCCUUUUUAGUUUUCUGCUCUUACCUUUAUUUCUUUUCAUGUGAUUUUUCUGUUUUGCUGUUCAUUGUUUAAUUUUUUAAUUUAGAAAUUCAAUUUGGGGCCAGGUGUGGUGGCACUUGCUUUUAAUCCCACCACUCCGGAAGCAUAAAUUUGUGAGUUCAUGGACAGCCAUGGUUAUGUGAAAGAACUGUUUCAAAAAAAGAAAAGAAGAAAAAAUGUCAUUUGUUUUCAUCCCUCUUCCACCUUUAUUGAUAAAAGUGUUUGACACUUGGAAUUUUCCAUCAAUUGCUAUCAUUACUUUAAUUGUAUCCCAAAGACUCCUUUGAGACAAAGUGGCUCAAGCUGCUGCACACUUAGUGUGUUACCCAGCUGGCUUCAGCUCUGCUGCACCUCCUCCCCGAGUUCUGGGAGCACAUGCUUGUGCCACCAUGUUUGACACUGGGUCUGACAGGUUGUUUAGAAAUGUUACGGUUUUCAUGUUGUUGGCUUUCUGUGUGCAUGGUUUUUUUCUUCCUUUUACCAGGUAGCAUAUUUGCAGCUUGAGUUUCUAGGUGGGUAGGCCUAUUGUUGCUCAUUUUUAGGUCGUGUCCCACCCACCCGCCUCUCCCCGCCCCCCAUCAUGGUUAGUGUGUGGGCAUUUCUUUCUCUGGAAAUGUUCAGAUCUCCACUUAUAACCUAACAUAGAGCUUUCUACUAUUAGAACAGAAUACUUGAGAUAAUCAGUGUCUAAAGAGGGAAGGCUUGUUUUGCUCUCAGUUCUUAAGAUUUUAGUCUCUAGUCAGCCCCAUUGCUUUGGGCUUUGGGUGAAGCAACACAUAAUGACAGAAGAAGUCAGUUCACCUUAAAAUGACUGGGAGGCAAGAGAUGAGGGCGCGGCCGCAAAUUGCCACUCUUCCUUCAAGAAUGUCCCCCAGUGACUUAACUUCUUCCCUAAAGUCCCCACUGGGGAACUCUUCCCAUAGUCCCUUGACCUUUGUGGGACCCCUGCAGUCCUAACUAUUGUGUGUCAGCUUUUGUGAAGGUCUCAUGUGAACUUAAGGUACAGAUGUAUGUCUGCCUUCUGUUAUUUGUGAUACAUAAAUUACUUUUACUGAAAGUACUUUGUCACUAAGAUGCAUCUCCAUUUUUUUGGCGGGAGGCAAGGUGGAAUGGGAUGGAUAAAAACGUUGUCCAGGCUAGCAGUCCUCCUGCCUGCCUGCCCUCCUGAGUAACUAGAAUUACAGGAUGCACUACCACAUAACUCCAAGGUUAGCACAGAAUAUAUAAUGGGGCCCUGUCAGAGUUGGGAGUCAGAGGAAAAAAGAAAGGUUUUCUUUGGUGAGUUAAAGCCAUUCACAUUGUUAUAAUAACUUUAUAGUUGGCCUUAGUGUUAUCACUAUCUUGAUAAUUACUUUGAGUGUCUUGUCUGUAUUGGUUUUUUCUUUGUGGUAUUUUGUUCAAUGCUUUUAUUUCUAAACAUAUUUGGUACUUAGGAAAAAUUGAGGUUUUGAAC
RNAcentral lists this long non-coding RNA (3473 nucleotides) under Mus musculus (house mouse). Its description in RNAcentral is "long non-coding RNA chr5:34469663-34473136". The record is from RNAcentral. Lineage: Eukaryota; Metazoa; Chordata; Mammalia; Rodentia; Muridae.